RNAcentral lists this ribosomal RNA (325 nucleotides) under uncultured eukaryote. RNAcentral describes it as "partial 18S ribosomal RNA". It matches the Rfam family "Eukaryotic small subunit ribosomal RNA", at positions 1470 to 1796 of the family's 1831-position model. The record is from RNAcentral.
CCCUUAGAUGUUCUGGGCCGCACGCGGGCUACACUGAUGCAUUCAACGAGCCUAUCCUUGACCGACAGGUCCGGGUAAUCUUUGAAUCUGCAUCGUGACGGGGAUAGAUUAUUGCAAUUAUUAAUCUUCAACGAGGAAUGCCUAGUAGGCGCAAGUCAUCAGCUUGCGUCGAUUACGUCCCUGCCCUUUGUACACACCGCCCGUCGCUCCUACCGAUUGGGUGUGCUGGUGAAAUGUUCGGAUCGGCCGUUUGUCGCGGUUUCCGCGUCAUGUGGCUGAGAAGUUCAUUAAACCCUCCCACCUAGAGGAAGGAGAAGUCGUAACA